GGCAAAGGUAGAAAGCCCCGGAGGGCCCUGGCAAUGGCAGAUAGGUCCGUUGGAGAUGGCCAAAAGGUCAAGCAACCCCGUCCUGCGGGGGAUCGUCCAUUAAUGGACCAUCUACCAUCUGAGUCACGGCACCAGAAAUGUCAGAAAUGUCUGCACGGGUGGCUGUCCCCUGCUCCCUCUGGCUUGCCCUGCCCUCUUGCAUCCAGGAGACCCUGAGGACCCCCCCGCACCCCAGGCAGGCCCACCACGGACAGCCAGUUUGGCCUUGCGGUCAGACGUGGGUGGCUGCGCCCUGCUUCCUCCGGCUUGCCCCAGACCACUGUACUUGGUAAGUUGGAGGGACCAUCACCUCCCAUUUGAACCUGCACUAUUUUCAGAGGAAAGACAGCUGGAAACUGU
RNAcentral lists this long non-coding RNA (399 nucleotides) under Heterocephalus glaber (naked mole-rat). RNAcentral's name for it is "lncRNA (ENSHGLG00100039009.1)". The record is from RNAcentral. Lineage: Eukaryota; Metazoa; Chordata; Mammalia; Rodentia; Bathyergidae.